RNAcentral lists this ribosomal RNA (424 nucleotides) under uncultured bacterium. RNAcentral describes it as "partial 16S ribosomal RNA". It matches the Rfam family "Bacterial small subunit ribosomal RNA", at positions 360 to 776 of the family's 1533-position model. The record is from RNAcentral.
AAUUUUGGACAAUGGGCGCAAGCCUGAUCCAGCCAUCCCGCGUGUGCGAUGAAGGCCUUCGGGUUUUAAAGCACUUUUUGCAGGGAAGAAACGGCCCAGGAUAAUACCUUGGGCUAAUGACGGUACCUGCAGAAUAAUCCCCGGCUAACUACGUGCCAGCAGCCGCGGUAAUACGUAGGGUGCAAGCGUUAAUCGGAAUUACUGGGCGUAAAGCGUGCGCAGGCGGUUCGGAAAGAAAGGUGUGAAAUCCCAGGGCUUAACCUUGGAACAGCACUUUUAACUGCCGGGCUAGAGUACGUCAGAGGGGGGUAGAAUUCCACGUGUAGCAGUGAAGUGCGUAGAUAUGUGGAGGAAUACCGAUGGCGAAGGCAGCCCCCUGGGAUGAUACUGACGCUCAUGCACGAAAGCGUGGGGAGCAAACAGG